This 20-nucleotide small RNA is filed under the name Arabidopsis thaliana (thale cress). Its description in RNAcentral is "ATSL050720". The record is from RNAcentral. Lineage: Eukaryota; Viridiplantae; Streptophyta; Magnoliopsida; Brassicales; Brassicaceae.
AACAGAAAACCAAAAAAAAA